Molecule: ribosomal RNA, 499 nt
Filed under: uncultured Actinomycetes bacterium
Lineage: Bacteria; Bacillati; Actinomycetota; Actinomycetes
Description: bacterial SSU rRNA
Rfam family: Bacterial small subunit ribosomal RNA
Source: RNAcentral
UGGGGAAUAUUGCACAAUGGGCGCAAGCCUGAUGCAGCGACGCCGCGUGAGGGAUGACGGCCUUCGGGUUGUAAACCUCUUUCAAUAGGGACGAAGCGCAAGUGACGGUACCUAUAGAAGAAGCACCGGCCAACUACGUGCCAGCAGCCGCGGUAAUACGUAGGGUGCGAGCGUUGUCCGGAAUUACUGGGCGUAAAGAGCUCGUAGGUGGUUUGUCGCGUUGUCCGUGAAAACUCACAGCUUAACUGUGGGCGUGCGGGCGAUACGGGCAGACUGGAGUACUGCAGGGGAGACUGGAAUUCCUGGUGUAGCGGUGGAAUGCGCAGAUAUCAGGAGGAACACCGGUGGCGAAGGCGGGUCUCUGGGCAGUGACUGACGCUGAGGAGCGAAAGCGUGGGGAGCGGAACAGGAUUAGAUACCCUGGUAGUCCACGCCGUAAACGGUGGGUACUAGGUGUGGGUUUCCUUCCUUGGGAUCCGUGCCGUAGCUAACGCAUUAA